Molecule: ribosomal RNA, 198 nt
Filed under: uncultured bacterium
Lineage: Bacteria
Description: partial 16S ribosomal RNA
Rfam family: Bacterial small subunit ribosomal RNA
Source: RNAcentral
ACGCUCGACACCUACGAGAGGCAGCAGUGGGGAAUAUUGCACAAUGGGGGAAACCCUGAUGCAGCAACGCCGCGUGAGUGAAGAAGUAUUUCGGUAUGUAAAGCUCUAUCAGCAGGGAAGAUAAUGACGGUACCUGACUAAGAAGCUCCGGCUAAAUACGUGCCAGUAGCCGCGGUAAUCUGAGCGGGCUGGCAAGGC